AGUUAACCACUUUUAGAAAGUAUUAUAUUUUGAAAAUAUAACUUAAGGAGUUAAACUCUCCUAUUAACUU
This 70-nucleotide transfer RNA is filed under the name Margattea spinifera. RNAcentral's name for it is "tRNA-Ser". Lineage: Eukaryota; Metazoa; Arthropoda; Insecta; Blattodea; Pseudophyllodromiidae. The record is from RNAcentral.